This 771-nucleotide ribosomal RNA is filed under the name uncultured bacterium. RNAcentral's name for it is "bacterial SSU rRNA". It matches the Rfam family "Bacterial small subunit ribosomal RNA", at positions 8 to 796 of the family's 1533-position model. The record is from RNAcentral.
AGAGUUUGAUCAUGGCUCAGGACGAACGCUGGCGGCGUGCUUAACACAUGCAAGUCGAACGGAAAGGCCCUUCGGGGUGCUCGAGUGGCGAACGGGUGAGUAACACGUGGGUGAUCUGCCCUGCACUUUGGGAUAAGCCUGGGAAACUGGGUCUAAUACCGAAUAGGAUCAUGGCCUUCAUGGGUUGUGGUGGAAAGCUUUUGCGGUGUGGGAUGGGCCCGCGGCCUAUCAGCUUGUUGGUGGGGUAAUGGCCUACCAAGGCGACGACGGGUAGCCGGCCUGAGAGGGUGUCCGGCCACACUGGGACUGAGAUACGGCCCAGACUCCUACGGGAGGCAGCAGUGGGGAAUAUUGCACAAUGGGCGCAAGCCUGAUGCAGCGACGCCGCGUGAGGGAUGACGGCCUUCGGGUUGUAAACCUCUUUCAGUAGGGACGAAGCGCAAGUGACGGUACCUAUAGAAGAAGGACCGGCCAACUACGUGCCAGCAGCCGCGGUAAUACGUAGGGUCCGAGCGUUGUCCGGAAUUACUGGGCGUAAAGAGCUCGUAGGUGGUUUGUCGCGUUGUUCGUGAAAACUCACAGCUUAACUGUGGGCGUGCGGGCGAUACGGGCAGACUUGAGUACUGCAGGGGAGACUGGAAUUCCUGGUGUAGCGGUGGAAUGCGCAGAUAUCAGGAGGAACACCGGUGGCGAAGGCGGGUCUCUGGGCAGUAACUGACGCUGAGGAGCGAAAGCGUGGGGAGCGAACAGGAUUAGAUACCCUAGUAGUCC